RNAcentral lists this long non-coding RNA (968 nucleotides) under Sus scrofa (pig). RNAcentral describes it as "lncRNA (ENSSSCG00040013519.1)". The record is from RNAcentral. Lineage: Eukaryota; Metazoa; Chordata; Mammalia; Artiodactyla; Suidae.
GGCGAAGACAAGGGAGAUCCGGCUACGUCCCUCCCCUAGGUCUCUGGAAGCUGAAGCCGCUGCAGCCAAGGCCUGGUUUCAUUCUGGCUGGGGGCUGAGGGCUGGAGUUGGACAGCCGGCCUCUCUGCGGUUCCCCCAUUAUGGCUUGGCAUCAGCAUCUAGAUUGCAGGAUUGAUGGAGCCACAAACCUCCUGCAGGGGCCCCCAGAGGUUCUUGCAUCCAGUGUGGCAUCCAGACAGUGUGUGGUUAAUGAGUCCGAAGAAAGGACCAGCGUCGGUGAGCUUUGGGUGUCUGUUUUGGAGGGUGAAGGAGGAUGGUCUGCAGCGGGUCAUGGUGGGUGGUCUGUCCAGAUGUGGAUCCCUGUUAACAUCCUAGUUCCUGUUCUUCAGGAUUUACCAACAAACCAACAAAUUGGUCCCCACAGGACAUGCCUGGCGGAGGGGGGUGCCCCCAACCCUAUGAAGUGUGUCCAGAAUCCUUGUUAUCUGCCUCCCUUUCCUGGAUUGUAACCCCCACUUCCAUUCUGGCCUUCCUUUUCCAACAGGGAGUAGCCGAGGAGCCCUAGGAAGGCAUCUCUGACCCCACAUCUCCCCAGCACCCUGAAAAAGUCCCUGAUGUGGAUGUUCUAGACUCCAGAUUAAGCCUCCCCCUCUUGCAGAGCCCAGCAUAAAAUGCAAAUUCUCCUGGGAGGUGCAACACUUUGAAUCUGUGCUGUCUUCUAGUGGAGGAGACCGGCAGCCCUGCAGGAGCACCUGGAGCACCUGGCUGUGGAGGGGCUUCUGGAAGGAAGCACAGGAGCAGAGGAAGGAGAAGGAGUUCAAAUGCCCGUACCUCCCGGGAGUUCCCAUCGUGGCGCAGUGGAAACGAAUCCAACUAGGAACCAUAAAGUUGCAGGUUUGAUCCCUGGCCUCGCUUAGUGGGUUAAGGAUCUGGUGUUGCUGUGAGCUGUGGUGUAGGUUGAAGACGCG